GUCGCAGCACGAACGCGGAUGGUGAUAUCCUUCCGCCGUCUCCUCAGGACGGGCUGACGCGCUCAGCCGAGCCAGGCCGCGGCGGGAGGAGGAGGGCGGCGUAGAAGAUAGCGAGGUAUCCAUCUGCCUGCCCCUCUGGACAGGCGCACAGCUGCGUAGUCACAAACCUGUCUGCAAAGUGACUUCCAAGUGAGGACUCUUGGAAAUAGUAACUCCUCACUUCAACAUAUUAAUUCUGGGCCACAGCCUCAUGCAGCCAAGCAAUGGGAAGAGGCUCCAUCCCAGAAUAGCCUGUCCUCUCUUCAGGCCUGGAAGCCCUCUGCCAUGUCUCUUGCUGUUUGUUGAAAGCCUCCAUGGAACAAAACUUCAGCCCAGGCCCCCACUUGACACAAGACACUGCAGAAGUUUCUCCUUCCUUCAGCAACGAAGCAAACGCCAGCAGAGAAGAAGGUUCUUUCACCACAGAGGCAGCAAUGCCCUUAAGUGAACCAGCAUCUACACAUGCAAAGCCUUCACCCCAAGUGGGGAAGACCUUUUAACUUGACUCUGCCAGACAUCAAGGGGAUUAAGGGUACCAUUUAACUCGGCCCAACUUCUCAGUUAACAGUAUCCUUGCAUGCACCUCCACUGCUCUUUUGCAGCACUGGGCAAGCUCACUUGAGCCAACUCUUGAGGCUUUUAUCUUUAAAGGAAGCACAGAUAGAAAGUUCAAUAAGCCAUGGAGAUGCAACCCGAAGCAUAACAUAACUGGUUCCAGCCACGCAAAGGAAUGGGAACAGCCAGCACCCUGCAAGCUCCGGGGCUGUCACUGAGAGAUCAUAGGCACUGUUGGCCCUGUUGACCUCAACCAGCUACAGCUUUUGAAACCACACAAGGUAUUUUAAGCCGAACUCCCGGAUCUGAAGACAAGAUUUGAGUCUGUUCAGAGCUGUUCUGCUGGCAUCCAACCACAGAACCAAAAUCCUCAUUCAACCCCAAUGAGAUUUUCCUUCCCGGGCACCUCUGAGAUCCUUCAGAACUGAAAAUGCUGGUUUGCCUUUCAUGAACCCAAGUUCCAAUGUUUGCCACCAACGGAGGAAAAAGCCAGCAUUUACCACACAAGGUUUUUUCCUAUACUAAUGGCAGGAAAUACCACAAAUACCAGGAUGAAAUAAAAAUCCACAGCCCCUCCAGAUGCCACAUGAAUUAGCAAGGGCUGGGAGAGCUGGAACAUGAUGAGAAAUCUUACUCCUCUGUCAUCUGGCUCGAGGACAAGGAGGAGAGGUCUCUGAAGAAAGUCAGCUCCCAGGGGGCUCACAACUGAGAAGCGUUUCAGCUGCCCAACUGUAAGUGCCUCACUCUCCCCCUCUCAGACCCAGAUGACUUCAUUUUCUUCUGUUGCUACUCCCACUCCCACAUACUCCUGAGAAAAGGACAUCGGUCAUGACAUCAAAGUACAAGAAUCCAUCAAACUGCACUUCUGUAUCUCAUCUUCCCAAGGCUGCACUUGCUCUAUGGUCCCGCUGGCAAGAAGCCACCACAGAAAACAGAUUUACCCUGCUGGGAGCAGCCAGGUCCAAAUCAACAUCAAGCUGAAAUUACUGCAUGGAGCACUAAAAACCUUUGGUUUUGGCUUCUUAUGCAUGCAACUUUUGACUGCAAGCUCUGUCUGAACACGAUCAGCAUUAUUGGUACAACCUGCUCAGGAAAUCUCUAAAAAAGAUUGAGCCACUGCUGUAUGAUGAGGGAAGAUGUCUUGAUUUAAGAACACAGGCAUUACUAGAAAGGGAAAAAAUAAAAGGGUCCCUUACUGUUCUGACAUAUCAAAAGCAGACUAAUGAACCACCAGUUCAUAGAAUGACCCUGCUCAUCAUUUCAGAGCCAGGCUGGCCUUUUGUGUUAAGGACACUGAAUAACAAGAGCAAGAACAAACAGAAAGAAUCCUUUCCCCAUGCCCAAAGUAAAUUUUGAAAUGAAAUCAUUUAAAACUACACCCGGCUGCCCUACUUUAAGGUCCACUUAAGAACAGAUGAAAAGUUUUGUUCUAUUGGCAAAACUGAAUCAAGGCUUUUGAUCCUCAAAGAUCUCUUAAUCGCUUUGCACAUCAGUUCUUUUCAUUAUUUCAAACACACUUGAAGACAGCUCCCUUUUUCUCUCUCUCCCUUUUUUUCCCCCCAAAAAAAAACUUCUCUGUGUUUGGGCCAUUUUCCAGCCAACUGUGCCACUACAGCAGAAAGCUGUUGGUUCUUUACUCACUCCAAGUUGCAACAUAUACGCAUUGUGAUUUGCCUUAGGGAAGUCUCAAAAAGCCCGGCCCUUGCAACUAACUGUGCUAGCUCACAGCAUCCACCUCUUCAUCCUUCUAAUGCUUCACAAGAGUUCCAAGGAAGAUUAUAAGCCUCUGGUUAAAAAAAAUGAAAGUAGUUGUUGGUGGCA
Gallus gallus (chicken) is the source of this 2415-nucleotide long non-coding RNA. RefSeq lists it as uncharacterized. The record is from RefSeq and is a predicted model, not a curated record. The transcript is spliced from 7 exons. NCBI's taxonomy places the organism in Eukaryota, Metazoa, Chordata, Aves, Galliformes, Phasianidae.